RNAcentral lists this ribosomal RNA (459 nucleotides) under uncultured bacterium. RNAcentral's name for it is "SSU rRNA". It matches the Rfam family "Bacterial small subunit ribosomal RNA", at positions 26 to 518 of the family's 1533-position model. The record is from RNAcentral.
AGAAUCAACGCUGGCGGCGUGCCUAACACAUGCAAGUCGAACGAGAAAGGGUAGCAAUACCUGAGUAAAGUGGCGCACGGGUGAGUAACACGUGACUAACCUACCUUUUAGUGGGGGAUAACCUAGGGAAACCUGGGCUAAUACCGCAUAAUACCUACGGGUCAAAGCAGCAAUGCGCUGAAAGAGGGGGUCGCGGCCGAUUAGCUAGUUGGCGGGGUAAUGGCCCACCAAGGCAGUGAUCGGUAUCCGGCCUGAGAGGGCGCACGGACACACUGGAACUGAAACACGGUCCAGACUCCUACGGGAGGCAGCAGUGGGGAAUUUUGCGCAAUGGGGGAAACCCUGACGCAGCAACGCCGCGUGGAGGAUGAAGUCCCUUGGGACGUAAACUCCUUUCGAUCGGGACGAUAAUGACGGUACCGGAAGAAGAAGCCCGGCUAACUUCGCGCCAGCAGCCGC